GAACUUAAGCAUAUCAAUAAGCGGAGGAAAAGAAACUAACAAGGAUUCCCCUAGUAACUGCGAGUGAAGCGGGAAAAGCUCAAAUUUGAAAUCUGGCAGUCUAUUUUUCUUCUUUGGCUGUCCGAGUUGUAAUCUAGAGAAGUGCUUACCUGCACUGGACCAUGUAUAAGUCUCCUGGAAUGGAGCGUCACAGAGGGUGAGAAUCCCGUCUUUGACAUGGACUGCCAGUGUGUUGUGGUGUGCUCUCAAAGAGUCGAGUUGUUUGGGAAUGCAGCUCUAAAUGGGUGGUAAACUCCAUCUAAAGCUAAAUAUUGGCGAGAGACCGAUAGCGAACAAGUACCGUGAGGGAAAGAUGAAAAGGACUUUGGAAAGAGAGUUAAACAGUAUGUGAAAUUGUUGAAAGGGAAACGCUUGAAGUCAGGUAUGUUGGCUAGGGAUCAACCUAGCUGUCUUUUGCUGGGUGAAUUUCCUAGUCUGACAGGCCAACAUCAGUCUUGACUGCUGGAAAAGAGCAGAGGGAAUGUGGCACCUUCGGGUGUGUUAUAGCCCUUUGUCAUAUGUGGCGGUUGGGACUGAGGGAUGCAGCGUGCCGCGAGGCUGGGUUUCGACCACGUUCACGCUUAGGAUGUUGGCUUUUAAUGGCUUCAAUCGACCCGUCUUGAAACACGGACCAAGGAGUCUAACAUGCCUGCAAGUGUUUGGGUGGAAAACCCUUGCGCACAAUGAAAGUGAAAGUUGAGAUCCCUGUCAUGGGGAGCAUCGACGCCCGGACUUGAGCUUUUAGCGACGGAUCCGCGGUAGAGCAUGCAUGUUGGGACCCGAAA
This 824-nucleotide ribosomal RNA is filed under the name uncultured fungus. RNAcentral's name for it is "eukaryotic LSU rRNA". It matches the Rfam family "Eukaryotic large subunit ribosomal RNA", at positions 30 to 821 of the family's 3401-position model. The record is from RNAcentral. Lineage: Eukaryota; Fungi.